GCCAAGAGUGUGGCGUAGUGGUUGGAGUGUUGGACUACGACUCUGGAGACCAGAGUUCAAUUCCCAGCAUGGCC
This is a non-coding RNA of Phrynosoma platyrhinos (Desert horned lizard), 74 nucleotides long. NCBI's taxonomy places the organism in Eukaryota, Metazoa, Chordata, Lepidosauria, Squamata, Phrynosomatidae. The record is from the annotation of a GenBank genome assembly.